RNAcentral lists this ribosomal RNA (253 nucleotides) under uncultured bacterium. RNAcentral's name for it is "partial 16S ribosomal RNA". It matches the Rfam family "Bacterial small subunit ribosomal RNA", at positions 524 to 776 of the family's 1533-position model. The record is from RNAcentral.
UACAGAGGUCCCAAGCGUUGUUCGGAUUCACUGGGCGUAAAGGGUGCGCAGGUGGGUUUGCAAGUUUGAUGUGAAAGCCCCGGGCUUAACCCGGGAAUGGCAUUGAAUACUGCAGAUCUGGAGGAUUGGAGGGGGGACUGGAAUUCUUGGUGUAGCAGUGAAAUGCGCAGAUAUCAGGAGGAACACCGAUGGCGAAGGCAGAUCUCUGGGCCGUUACUGACGCUGAGGAGCGAAAGCGUGGGGAGCGAACAGG